GUUCUUUUUUUGGAUUUUGAUGGUAUGCCUGACCAAAGCAUGAUCCUAAUCUAGUAACUGUUGCCCUUUUACAGAAUACAAAUAUCCAGAAAUUUUCACAUACCUAGAGGACCUCACCUUCUUGGUGCUCCUUGCUUACAUAAGAUGCAUCUAAUGCAUCAUCGACCUGUUACAACGUCAACAUCGUCUGGGUACGAGCGGCCGUAGAUCACAAGGGGGCGUGGAACUGUUGCAGACCAUUUGUGACAGAGCAUAAUCCAGCGACUUUGCCCAGGUGCCGUGACCGGGCCUCAAAGGCAGGGCCUGGGCGAAGAGGUAUCCCCGACGACCAAGACAAGGCCACGGUGGUGAAGACUGUGGUGAGACAGAGCUGACUCCAGCAAAUUUGACCAGCCAGUGCAAAUGUGUCCCUUGAUCAACUAAACUGGGUGAAUGUAAAAUCAUGGGGAGCCUUGAAGCCUUCUAAUGAACACAUAAAAGAUAAUCAGUGUUUAUUUG
Long non-coding RNA from Triticum dicoccoides, 498 nucleotides. RefSeq lists it as uncharacterized. The transcript has 5 exons. NCBI's taxonomy places the organism in Eukaryota, Viridiplantae, Streptophyta, Magnoliopsida, Poales, Poaceae. The record is from RefSeq and is a predicted model, not a curated record.